This is a long non-coding RNA of Sander lucioperca (pikeperch), 76 nucleotides long. RefSeq lists it as uncharacterized. Lineage: Eukaryota; Metazoa; Chordata; Actinopteri; Perciformes; Percidae. The transcript has 3 exons. The record is from RefSeq and is a predicted model, not a curated record.
AGAGAGAUAGAGAGAGCCGCGACCGGCGCGUAGAAAUACGCGUCCGGUAUGAAUGGCCAGGCGCACGAUCAGGCAC